RNAcentral lists this ribosomal RNA (468 nucleotides) under uncultured bacterium. Its description in RNAcentral is "partial 16S ribosomal RNA". It matches the Rfam family "Bacterial small subunit ribosomal RNA", at positions 28 to 507 of the family's 1533-position model. The record is from RNAcentral.
GACGAACGCUGGCGGCGUGCUUAACACAUGCAAGUCGAACGGAAAGGCCCUGCUUUUGUGGGGUGCUCGAGUGGCGAACGGGUGAGUAACACGUGAGUAACCUGCCCUUGACUUUGGGAUAACUUCAGGAAACUGGGGCUAAUACCGGAUAGGAGCUCCUGCUGCAUGGUGGGGGUUGGAAAGUUUCGGCGGUUGGGGAUGGACUCGCGGCUUAUCAGCUUGUUGGUGGGGUAGUGGCUUACCAAGGCUUUGACGGGUAGCCGGCCUGAGAGGGUGACCGGCGACAUUGGGACUGAGAUAGGGACCAGACUCCUACGGGAGGCAGCAGGGGGGAAUAUUGCACAAUGGGCGGAAGCCUGAUGCGGCAACGCCGCGUGCGGGAUGACGGCCUUCGGGUUGUAAACCGCUUUCGCCUGUGACGAAGCGUGAGUGACGGUAAUGGGUAAAGAAGCACCGGCUAACUACGUG